UGAAGGAAAAACUAUUAGUUAAUUUGUCAGUUUAAGUAAUGUUGAAUCUAUUUCUUUUGAAAUUAAUAAAUUUUUCGUAAUAUUUUCUUUGAUUUGCGACAAUCGUCAUAAUAUUCGCAGUUCGGUAGCGAAUGUCAACAUGUCCAGAUCAAACCCCGAGAGGGUUGUUUUGUAAAAUCAACAAACUGUGAACAUUAUCGAAGCAUUGCAGAAACCCAGGGACAGUUAUGACAAAUUAAAUCAUAGUUAUUUAUGCUCGGGAAAUUCCGAUCAGCCAAAAGGGAAGCUUGAACUUGAAGCUAGGUCACAAACAUGUGCAAGAUUGCAGAUCCACGUUGCCUCGUCUGAAGUCAUGUCGUGUGCAGUGAGCAUGAGAAAAUCAACCCUACUUUACCCUAGACUAGAAAAAAGACUGGAGGUCAGAAUGCAGGAUGAUUGAGCAAGGAGUGCUGGCAGAUGGACUAUUGAGGUCAACAAAAAAUUUGGACUUUCAUCAGGUGGACACAUGUUCAGCAAGAAAUUCUCACAUCAAAUGAAUGAUGGCUGUCUGUGGAAAAGAGAUUUUCUCAGAAUAUAUCACAGAUCAGAGGCAGGAAUUACAUAUUUAUCUGAUCAAAGAAAUGUUUUUGUAGAAAUAUGGAAGUCAAUGCAAUAUGUUAUCAUAGUCACUGCUGCUUGUUGCAUGAUU
Molecule: long non-coding RNA, 688 nt
Organism: Saccostrea echinata
Lineage: Eukaryota; Metazoa; Mollusca; Bivalvia; Ostreida; Ostreidae
Exons: 3
Source: RefSeq, a predicted model, not a curated record